Molecule: ribosomal RNA, 858 nt
Filed under: uncultured bacterium
Lineage: Bacteria
Description: bacterial SSU rRNA
Rfam family: Bacterial small subunit ribosomal RNA
Source: RNAcentral
AUGUGAUGCUGGGUGAUAACACAUGCAGUCGAACGAGAACGGACUUAAGCUUGCUUAAGUUGUCAGCUAAGUGGCGCACGGGUGAGUAAUAUAUAGGUAAUGUGCCCUAGAGAGGGGGAUAACAUUUGGAAACGAAUGCUAACACCCCAUAUGCCCUUAAGACAUAAGUCUGCAGGGGAAAUAUUUAUAGCUCUAGGAUCGGCCUGUACGGUAUCAGCUUGUUGGUGAGGUAAUGGCUCACCAAGGCUAUGACGCCUAACUGGUUUGAGAGGAUGAUCAGUCACACUGGAACUGAGACACGGUCCAGACUCCUACGGGAGGCAGCAGUGGGGAAUAUUGCACAAUGGGGGAAACCCUGAUGCAGCAACGCCGCGUGGAGGAUGACACAUUUCGGUGCGUAAACUCCUUUUAUAUAGGAAGAUAAUGACGGUACUAUAUGAAUAAGCGCCGGCUAACUCCGUGCCAGCAGCCGCGGUAAUACGGAGGGCGCAAGCGUUACUCGGAAUCACUGGGCGUAAAGAGCGUGUAGGUGGGUUAUUAAGUCAGAUGUGAAAGCCUGUGGCUCAACCAUAGAACUGCAUUUGAAACUGAUAACCUAGAGUAUGGGAGAGGUAGAUGGAAUUUCUGGUGUAGGGGUAAAAUCCGUAGAGAUCAGAAGGAAUACCGAGUGCGAAGGCGAUCUACUGAACAUUACUGACACUGAGACGCGAAGGCGUGGGGAGCAAACAGGAUUAGAUACCCUGGUAGUCCACGCCCUAAACGAUGUACACUAGUUGUUGCCAUGCUAGACAUGUCAGUAAUGCAGUUAACACAUUAAGUGUACCGCCUGGGGAGUACGGUCGCAAGAUUAAAACUCAA